AUUGAACGCUGGCGGCAGGCCUAACACAUGCAAGUCGAACGAGUGGCGGACGGGCGGGUAAUGUCUGGGAAACUGCCUGACGGAGGCGUAUAACUACUGGAAACGGUAGCUACUACCGCAUACCAUCCGCUCUGCCCUGAGGGGAUUAGCUAGUAGGUGGGGUAAAGGCUCACCUAGGCGAAGAUGCCUAGCUGGUCUGUGAGGAUGACCGGCCACACUGGAACUGAGACACGGCCCAGACUCCUACGGGAGGCAGCAGUGGGGAAUAUUGCGCAAUGGGCGCAAGCCUGAUGCAGCCAUGCCGCGUGUGUGAAGAAGGCCUUCGGGUUGUAAAGUACUUUCGGCGGAGAAGCGGUACCUAAAGAGGAAGCACCGGCUAACUCCGUGCCAGCAGCCGCGGUAAUUC
This 406-nucleotide ribosomal RNA is filed under the name uncultured bacterium. RNAcentral's name for it is "partial 16S ribosomal RNA". It matches the Rfam family "Bacterial small subunit ribosomal RNA", at positions 30 to 526 of the family's 1533-position model. The record is from RNAcentral.